UUCUAUCUCAUAGCAAAGAGUCCACCCGUUAGUCAAAAAUAGUACUUGUUAUUACAGCCCACAUUUACACACAUCAGAAUUUGAACUUGGAGUCUACUUUGCUACUAUAUAUAUAUUAUAAACUCUUUUAAGUACGAGAAUGUAGUCUUGAUAAAAUUUUAAAAUAUCAAUUUCACUUGUCGUCUUAAAUAAAUAAUAUAUACAUCUGUCAAGUAUUUGAAAAAAAAAAAAAUUGGUAUUGAAUUUGGCAGUAUGUAUCAGCUUUUGUGAAGCAGAAGCAAAAUGAAAACGGCUGAUAUAUCGAAAGCUUUAAGUAAUCUUCUUUUCUUUGUUUA
This 335-nucleotide long non-coding RNA is filed under the name Capsella rubella. RNAcentral describes it as "long non-coding RNA (CRUB_LNC002071)". Lineage: Eukaryota; Viridiplantae; Streptophyta; Magnoliopsida; Brassicales; Brassicaceae. The record is from RNAcentral.